UAGGGAAUCUUCGGCAAUGGACGGAAGUCUGACCGAGCAACGCCGCGUGAGUGAAGAAGGUUUUCGGAUCGUAAAGCUCUGUUGUAAGAGAAGAACGAGUGUGAGAGUGGAAAGCUCACACUGUGACGGUAUCUUACCAGAAAGGGACGGCUAACUACGUGCCAGCAGCCGCGGUAAUACGUAGGUCCCGAGCGUUGUCCGGAUUUAUUGGGCGUAAAGCGAGCGCAGGCGGUUAGAUAAGUCUGAAGUUAAAGGCUGUGGCUUAACCAUAGUACGCUUUGGAAACUGUUUAACUUGAGUGCAAGAGGGGAGAGUGGAAUUCCAUGUGUAGCGGUGAAAUGCGUAGAUAUAUGGAGGAACACCGGUGGCGAAAGCGGCUCUCUGGCUUGUAACUGACGCUGAGGCUCGAAAGCGUGGGGAGCAAACAGGAUUAGAUACCCUGGUAGUCCACGCCGUAACGAUGAGUGCUAGGUGUUAGACCCUUUCCGGGGUUUAGUGCCGCAGCUAACGCAUUAAGCACUCCGCCUGGGGAGUACGACCGCAAGGNUG
RNAcentral lists this ribosomal RNA (549 nucleotides) under uncultured bacterium. RNAcentral describes it as "bacterial SSU rRNA". It matches the Rfam family "Bacterial small subunit ribosomal RNA", at positions 355 to 896 of the family's 1533-position model. The record is from RNAcentral.